Small nuclear RNA from Lynx canadensis (Canada lynx), 107 nucleotides. Lineage: Eukaryota; Metazoa; Chordata; Mammalia; Carnivora; Felidae. The record is from Ensembl.
GUGCUCGCUUCAGCAGCACAUAUACUAAAAUUGGAACGAUACAGAAAAGAUUAGCAUGGCCCCUGCACAAGUAUGACACACAAAUUCGUGAAGUGUUCCAUAUUUUU